This 1022-nucleotide ribosomal RNA is filed under the name Staphylococcus aureus. RNAcentral describes it as "partial 23S ribosomal RNA". It matches the Rfam family "Bacterial large subunit ribosomal RNA", at positions 1316 to 2333 of the family's 2925-position model. The record is from RNAcentral. Lineage: Bacteria; Bacillati; Bacillota; Bacilli; Caryophanales; Staphylococcaceae.
GACGGGUGAGAAUCCCGUCCACCGAUUGACUAAGGUUUCCAGAGGAAGGCUCGUCCGCUCUGGGUUAGUCGGGUCCUAAGCUGAGGCCGACAGGCGUAGGCGAUGGAUAACAGGUUGAUAUUCCUGUACCACCUAUAAUCGUUUUAAUCGAUGGGGGGACGCAGUAGGAUAGGCGAAGCGUGCGAUUGGAUUGCACGUCUAAGCAGUAAGGCUGAGUAUUAGGCAAAUCCGGUACUCGUUAAGGCUGAGCUGUGAUGGGGAGAAGACAUUGUGUCUUCGAGUCGUUGAUUUCACACUGCCGAGAAAAGCCUCUAGAUAGAAAAUAGGUGCCCGUACCGCAAACCGACACAGGUAGUCAAGAUGAGAAUUCUAAGGUGAGCGAGCGAACUCUCGUUAAGGAACUCGGCAAAAUGACCCCGUAACUUCGGGAGAAGGGGUGCUCUUUAGGGUUAACGCCCAGAAGAGCCGCAGUGAAUAGGCCCAAGCGACUGUUUAUCAAAAACACAGGUCUCUGCUAAACCGUAAGGUGAUGUAUAGGGGCUGACGCCUGCCCGGUGCUGGAAGGUUAAGAGGAGUGGUUAGCUUCUGCGAAGCUACGAAUCGAAGCCCCAGUAAACGGCGGCCGUAACUAUAACGGUCCUAAGGUAGCGAAAUUCCUUGUCGGGUAAGUUCCGACCCGCACGAAAGGCGUAACGAUUUGGGCACUGUCUCAACGAGAGACUCGGUGAAAUCAUAGUACCUGUGAAGAUGCAGGUUACCCGCGACAGGACGGAAAGACCCCGUGGAGCUUUACUGUAGCCUGAUAUUGAAAUUCGGCACAGCUUGUACAGGAUAGGUAGGAGCCUUUGAAACGUGAGCGCUAGCUUACGUGGAGGCGCUGGUGGGAUACUACCCUAGCUGUGUUGGCUUUCUAACCCGCACCACUUAUCGUGGUGGGAGACAGUGUCAGGCGGGCAGUUUGACUGGGGCGGUCGCCUCCUAAAAGGUAACGGAGGCGCUCAAAGGUUCCCUCAGAAUGGUUG